Molecule: long non-coding RNA, 1217 nt
Organism: Scophthalmus maximus (turbot)
Lineage: Eukaryota; Metazoa; Chordata; Actinopteri; Pleuronectiformes; Scophthalmidae
Exons: 2
Source: RefSeq, a predicted model, not a curated record
AAAACACACAGCACAACAGCAGCUCAUCAGUAUUCAACACAGUGUCACCGUGAUGGAGAGAAACAAGCAACGUGAAAGAGAGCAAAAGAGGGGGAAAGAGGAACGGAGAGAUUAGGCCCAGUAUGUGGGAGAGCAGGGUUAGAGAUGCGGCAGGCUGAUUUGUCUGUGAGCGUUGCACCCGUCAUUUUAUAGGGCCUCAUUUCACUGGCCUGGAUAAGAGCCCUGGUUUACAGCCUAUAAUAGCAGCAACACUGUCACGGGGAGCACCUACUUUUUCAUGUUCUUGACCUUCAUGCUUGCCGUGCUGACGCAGGAGCGCAGGAGGGGCUCGGCUGUAUGCUCUGGGACAUCGUCACUCCUCACCUGACAAACGGAGAGAGUAAACAUCAGUAAAGUGUCAGUCACUGUGGCAGAUGGGAUCACGGCUAAGAAUAACUGUGCUGAUCAUAAAACCACGGCUGUGCAGCAAACGUGACAAACUUAUACAUCUGGCGUCAGAGUAAAGUUAUUUCCUGGUGAGAUGACACUCCUGGAUAUCAAGUUUACUUUAUGCCUUCAAAACUCAGAACAAAUCUUUAAAUAUGUCAUUAUUUGCUCAUGCAGUGGCUGAUAUAUUGAUCAUUAUGGAUUUGUUUGGAAUUUGAGAAUGAUAUCAUUGUUUUACAUGCACUACAUUAUACCAUGUUAUUCUAACAUCAUGUUUUUGAUUGAAUGUACUUAAAUUACAAUAAUCUAUCAGAUGACGACUUAUGAGAAAAUCAAUAAAUGUACAGGUUACAAAUGAAUGGGUUGUUCUAUUCAUUUAGUUAAAUUUUGUUGCAAGGAGGCCACAACAGCAAUUUUUCAGAUUAAUAACCAAUCAAUCGUGCAACAUAAAUGGCAAUAACCAGGUUAUUUUUCACCUCCAAGACAAUUGUGGACUUGGACCUGUUUUGUUGUUAUACUACAGUUAAAUUGUUCUCGUAUUAUCCUUGUGUUGUUAUGCUACCCUAAGCUAUAGUAGGAUAUUUUCAGCAAAAUCUUAUGUAACAUAUUAUUUAAUAAUAUAUUAUGUUAUGCAGCAAUAAAGUUAGAUUAUUCUUUGCCAUUUGAAGCUAUGCUGUUACUCUAAUAUGUUUUAAGAUAAGUUUGCAUUUGAUUAUUUGUGGUCAUCUAAUGGAUGUGCAGGAUGAUGUAUAUUAUGAAAAUCUGAAUAAAAAGGCUGAUAGAGAAAAUAA